Molecule: non-coding RNA, 2965 nt
Organism: Procambarus clarkii (red swamp crayfish)
Lineage: Eukaryota; Metazoa; Arthropoda; Malacostraca; Decapoda; Cambaridae
Source: RefSeq, a predicted model, not a curated record
GUUCCGCCCAGAGGCAGGACCCAACUGGGGUUAUGGGGGCGUUGGCACCCAAUACCAGGGCCCAAUGGGCGAGCGACUGGGAUCUUCUCGGGAUCAGCUGAUGGAGGCACUGCUGGGAGGCGAGGAGGUGCUGGAGGACCAGCUGUGUGAAGGACGACGCUGUACCGCCAAUGAGCAGUGUUGUGGCGGCCACAUCUGCGUCGAGUUCGAUGGAGCCUCGGGGACCUGUAUGAACUCCAUGGGUCAGAGGGAGGGGUCAGCGUGCGUGAGUGACAAUGAGUGUUCAUCCGGACUCAUCUGUGACCUUGGUGCCUGCGUCCAGAUCCUCGGCAAGAAACGCUACAACGAGCCUUGUACCGUCAGCUCUGAAUGUGAGGUUGGUCGAGGCUUGUGCUGUCAGGUCGUUCGCCGUCACCGCCAGGCGCCAAAGACGCUGUGUGGCUACUUCAAGGACCCAAUGAUCUGCAUCGGCCGCGUCGCAGCUGACCAGGUAAAGACUGAGCCCAGCAAGCAGUAAGGUUCUUCACCGGUGUGUCUUCUCCCUCCCUUCCUGGUCCUGAAGGGUCCGGGACCCUGUGGAACACAUGAUGGAGCAUACCAAAGGAGAGAAGAGACUCACAGGCAAGAACCACGACUAUGACAACAUCUAGGGUGGCCCUCUAAUCCAUCCCUUGCCACCCUAAACCAACCUUCACCACCCUAAACCAACCCUCAUCACCCUAAACCAACCCUCACCACCCUAAACCAACCCUCACCACCCUAAACCAACCAUCACCUAAACCAACCCUCAACCACCCUCCAACCCUCAUCACCCUAAACCAACCACACCCCAAUUAUCGCACGGCCUAACCAAUCCCCUAAUCCGCCCCCAUACCCGACUUCAUUAAACCUUCCAAUCCUUACCCACAACGCCUACCCAUCACCCAAUCCUACCUUACCUACCACACCAACCCCUACCCAACACAAUACCCAUCCCCCAAUACACAAUCUCCACCCUUGGGAAUUCUUAGACGUGACUUGAGUGAAGAGGACAAGGGGAGGAAGAUGGACCUUGUAUCUCAGCAUACAUCACCCAACAGACGCCAUCAAUGCAGCACACCCGUCUCCUCACCCAGAGAGUCAUCAGCAGGAACGAGCUCAGUUCCUGCUAACAUAUUUUUUUCCUCUUUUAUUGAAUUACUUUCAAACUUACGCUUUAGAAAUAAGGAAUUUUUCUGUCAUGAUGUUAAACAAACCACUUCGUUAUCAUUUAAGGCAGUACUGUUAAAUUGGUUUGUUAAACUAUCCUAAACAAUCUGUUUUGAUAAGUUUUUAUUAUUGUUUUGACUAUUUGUGAAGAAGAGUUUUUUGAGUAGCAUUAUAGCAGUGUGGGAAGCAUUAUAGCAGUGUGGGAAGCAUUAUAUCAGUGUGGGAAGCAUUAUAUUAGUGUGGGAAGUAUUAUAGCAGUGUGGGAAGCAUUAUAGCAGUGUAUAAAGCAUUAUAGAAGUGUGGGAAGGAGUAUAGCAGUGUGGGAAGCAUUAUAUCAGUGUGGGAAGCAUUAUAGCAGUGUGGGAAGCAUUAUAGCAGUGUGGGAAGCAUUAUAGCAGUGUGGGAAGCAUUAUAGCAGUAUGGGAAGCAUUAUAGCAGUAUGGAAGCAUUAUAUCAGUGUGGGAAGUAUUAUAUCAGUGUGGGAAGCAUUAAACCAUUGUGGGAAGCAUUAUAGUAAUGUUUGGAAGCAUUAUAUCAGUAUGGGAAGCAUUAUAUCAGUCCCAGUGACGCAUGUGACGUCAGAUUACCAUCACCCCUACUGCUGCUCAAGCGUCACCCUCGAACAAGUGAAGUUUAAGAAUUCUAUGAACCUAAAUAGUUUUUUCCCCUUUCGGUAAGAGAUUAAGUGUCAAGUCUAAAUAGUUUCCUGAAGUAAUUAGUACCACAUCUCGUUGCAUCUAUGUGUAUAUCUUGAGUCUUGGUGGGCAUACUGUCAAUCACACAAUUUAGUACAUAUCUAAGCAAUUGGGAAAGGCUCCUAGAUCCCAAGAUUAAGAAUCAGGAUUAGAAAAAAUGGUAAAUAAUAGAUAGGCUACAGGAUCAUAACAGAAGGACGGUCAAUAUUUCGUUCGUGUUAGGCACUUCGAUUCCAUGUUGGGUAAUAAUCCAGGUGUUCCAACCCCCAAACUCAUGCCAGCUAUGAGCUCGGUACCUAUGUUUAUUGUUCCCCUUGUCGUCUAUAGUCCGACACUCAUUAUAAAGCAUGGGAGUGGGCGUUGGGUAGAAAAUGGAGUACCUUUGUGUGGCAAACUAUUCUAAUUAUUAUUAAUCAUUAAUAUCGGUGUCUUAAGACUGUAUAGUCGGUAACCAAUAGACUAAGUAUUAUCGCAGGCAUGGUGUUUCCUUGUGGCGUGCUCGUUAUAUAGUCUGUCUGUGCUGGCCCAAGCAGCUAGCUCUCUCUCUCCAUUUGGUCAUUACUAUUAUUAAACCUUUCGGCAGACAUUUGUGCAUAUUGGGCCUUCCUCGCCAGGUUGGGGGAGGGUAUAGUGCGCUCUGAACGCCACCUUGGGACACAGCCUCGCGUCGGCUCUCUUCCAACGUGGUUGUCUGACACCCAAUUUGUCCAAUUUAGGCAGAUGAAUACACUGAAUAAAUGUGAAUGAAAUUCCUCACGCAUCUUUCUCUCCUACAUCUUAACCAUAAUUGUAUACUAAUUCUCACUAAUUCUAGCAAAUGAUAUCUUGCAUGGCAACUCACUGAUCUUAAGCAGAGUGACUAUUAUACAACUUUUGAUAACUUUUAGGCAACUUUUGACAACAUGUUUAAUCUAUCAAGAAAUACUAUCGAUAUCUUACUCAUCAAGACCAAGGUGCUUGUGUCGUCACUGGGAAAAGUGACGUCAGAUGAUAUCAUAUCAGAGCUGUUAAUCUCUUCCCAUAUAAUUGUUGUAUUAUUAUGUAUGAUCUUAUAUGUGGAUUAUUAAAGAUGUUUUAAGUGC